Molecule: ribosomal RNA, 499 nt
Filed under: uncultured bacterium
Lineage: Bacteria
Description: partial 16S ribosomal RNA
Rfam family: Bacterial small subunit ribosomal RNA
Source: RNAcentral
GACGAACGCUGGCGGCGUGCUUAACACAUGCAAGUCGAACGGGCCUGUCUUCUUUUUUGGGGGUGGGUUGAGUGGCGAACGGGUGAGUAUCACGUGAGUAACCUGCCCUUCGGUCCUGGAUAACCGCUUGAAAGGGCGGCUAAUACGGGGUGGUCCGGUUGGUCCGCAUGGGCUGGUCGGGAUAGAUUCACUGUUUUUGGUGUUUCGGCGGGGGAUGGGCUCGCGGCCUAUCAGCUUGUUGGUGGGGUGAUGGCCUACCAAGGCGGUGACGGGUAGCCGGCCUGAGAGGGUGGGCGGCCAAACUGGGACUGAGAUACGGCCCAGACUCCUGCGGGAGGCAGCAGUGGGGGGUAGUGCACAAUGGGCGGAAGCCUGAUGUAGCGACGUCGCGUGAGGGAUGGAGGCCUUCGGGUUGUGAACCUCUGUUUCCGGUGGUGAAGGCCCUGUCCGUGUGGUGGGGUUGACGGUAGCCGGGGAUGAAGCGCCGGCUAACUACGUG